This 460-nucleotide ribosomal RNA is filed under the name uncultured bacterium. RNAcentral's name for it is "partial 16S ribosomal RNA". It matches the Rfam family "Bacterial small subunit ribosomal RNA", at positions 338 to 795 of the family's 1533-position model. The record is from RNAcentral.
CCUACGGGAGGCAGCAGUGAGGAAUAUUGGUCAAUGGACGAGAGUCUGAACCAGCCAAGUAGCGUGAAGGAUGACUGCCCUAUGGGUUGUAAACUUCUUUUAUAUGGGAAUAAAAUGUUCCACGUGUGGGAUUUUGUAUGUACCAUAUGAAUAAGGAUCGGCUAACUCCGUGCCAGCAGCCGCGGUAAUACGGAGGAUCCGAGCGUUAUCCGGAUUUAUUGGGUUUAAAGGGAGCGUAGGUGGAUUGUUAAGUCAGUUGUGAAAGUUUGCGGCUCAACCGUAGAAUUGCAGUUGAAACUGGCAGUCUUGAGUGCAGUAGAGGUGGGCGGAAUGCGUGGUGUAGCGGUGAAAUGCUUAGAUAUCACGAAGAACUCCGAUUGCGAAGGCAGUUCACUGGACUGCAACUGACACUGAGGCUCGAAAGUGUGGGUAUCAAACAGGAUUAGAUACCCGAGUAGUC